RNAcentral lists this ribosomal RNA (239 nucleotides) under uncultured bacterium. Its description in RNAcentral is "partial 16S ribosomal RNA". It matches the Rfam family "Bacterial small subunit ribosomal RNA", at positions 537 to 775 of the family's 1533-position model. The record is from RNAcentral.
AGCGUUACUCGGAAUUACUGGGCGUAAAGCGUGCGUAGGCGUCCUGACAAGUUUUAGGUGAAAUGCCCAAGCUCAACUUGGGAGCUGCCUGAAAAACUGUUGGGAUUGAGUACAGAUGAGGUAGGCGGAAUUGACGGUGUAGCGGUGAAAUGCAUAGAUAUCGUCAGGAACACCUAUAGCGAAGGCAGCUUACUAAGCUGUAACUGACGCUGAGGCACGAAAGUGUGGGGAUCAAACAG